GGCGAUUCCAUUGAUUAAAUUAAGAUGCCCAAUGCAAAUGGUCAGUGCGACAAUCCAUUUGUUUCAGAAGGCAGUUUAAAAAGGAUUCUUUGUCUGUUUUGGACUUCAUUCAAAUCAAAGAAAACUAAACAUCAUAAAAUAAUUUGACAGAGAUAAGGAUGUUAUUUUUCCCUUUGCAUUAGUCUUUAUUUUAGCACCUUAUGUUCUGUAAGCUUUUUGU
This is a non-coding RNA of Pelobates cultripes (western spadefoot toad), 220 nucleotides long. Lineage: Eukaryota; Metazoa; Chordata; Amphibia; Anura; Pelobatidae. The record is from the annotation of a GenBank genome assembly.